UAGAGAGAAAGACUUUUAGCAAUACCUGCCCAGUGCGAAAUAUUACUGUAAACGGCCGCCCUAGCGUGAGGGUGCUAAGGUAGCGAAAUUCCUUGCCUUUUGAUUGUAGGCCUGCAUGAAUGGUUUAACGAGGGUUUAACUGUCUCUAAAUUUUUUAUUGAAAUUGUACUGAAGGUGAAGAUACCUUCAUUUAAAAGUUAGACAAAAAGACCCCGUGCAACUUUGAAAAUUAACUUUAUUCAGAAGUAAAAGAUUUUUAGGUGGGGCGCCUAGAAAGUAAGUCUAACCUUUCUGAAUAAUUAGUUCUUUCCGGAUUCGACCCGAUUAUAUUCGAUCAUAGGAGAAGUUACGCCGGGGAUAACAGGCUAAUCCUUUAGUAGAGCUCGUAUUGGCUAAAGGGAUUGGCACCUCGAUGUUGAAUCAGGGAUGAUAGCUUCAAGGCGUAGAGGCUUUGAGAGUAGGUCUGUUCGACCUUUAAUACCCUACGUGAUCUGAGUCANNACCGG
This 506-nucleotide ribosomal RNA is filed under the name Magallana rivularis. RNAcentral's name for it is "Crassostrea rivularis partial 16S ribosomal RNA". It matches the Rfam family "Bacterial large subunit ribosomal RNA", at positions 1834 to 2619 of the family's 2925-position model. The record is from RNAcentral. Lineage: Eukaryota; Metazoa; Mollusca; Bivalvia; Ostreida; Ostreidae.